GAUGAACGCUGGCGGCGUGCCUAAUACAUGCAAGUCGAGCGAACGGACGAGAAGCUUGCUUCUCUGAUGUUAGCGGCGGACGGGUGAGUAACACGUGGAUAACCUACCUAUAAGACUGGGAUAACUUCGGGAAACCGGAGCUAAUACCGGAUAAUAUUUUGAACCGCAUGGUUCAAAAGUGAAAGACGGUCUUGCUGUCACUUAUAGAUGGAUCCGCGCUGCAUUAGCUAGUUGGUAAGGUAACGGCUUCCCAAGGCAACGAUGCAUAGCCGACCUGAGAGGGUGAUCGGCCACACUGGAACUGAGACACGGUCCAGACUCCUACGGGAGGCAGCAGUAGGGAAUCUUCCGCAAAGGGCGAAAGCCUGACGGAGCAACGCCGCGUGAGUGAUGAAGGUCUUCGGAUCGUAAAACUCUGUUAUUAGGGAAGAACAUAUGUGUAAGUAACUGUGCACAUCUUGACGGUACCUAAUCAGAAAGCCACGGCUAACUACGUG
Molecule: ribosomal RNA, 497 nt
Filed under: uncultured bacterium
Lineage: Bacteria
Description: partial 16S ribosomal RNA
Rfam family: Bacterial small subunit ribosomal RNA
Source: RNAcentral